Alligator sinensis (Chinese alligator) is the source of this 267-nucleotide long non-coding RNA. RefSeq lists it as uncharacterized. The record is from RefSeq and is a predicted model, not a curated record. NCBI's taxonomy places the organism in Eukaryota, Metazoa, Chordata, Crocodylia, Alligatoridae. The transcript is spliced from 3 exons.
CUCCUCCCUCAGCGUGUGGGGCUCUAGCUCCACCUUCCAGCAAUCUGCCUGCUCAGCGCCAGGAGCAGCCACCUACAGAAGGGAAGAGGAUGCAAGUAUGCUUUGGUCAGUCAUGUCCCAAAGCACAGGAGCCUUGAGGAACAGACUGAGGUGGCAAUGCUGCAACAUCAGUUUUCUGAGGAAGGGGUCGCAUCCAUCCACCCACUCAGACAGGUCUCGCCCCUUGCAAUGCAUUGUCCAGUCCUCCCUGAAGAAGAAGAAAGCAAA